ACUUGCCUGUUUCUUUUUGUCUUGUAACUUAUCAUUGAACACUGGAUACUUUAGGUUAUAGACUCUUCAACUCUGGAUUCUGAAUCUUUUCUGCUGAGAGUUGUUACUGUUUGUUCGUUUGUUUGUAACCAGCCUGUACUAAAUUUGUAAAUUCUGUGAGCAGCGUGUAUCCGGAGCCAUCUCUGCUCAUUUUUUGUUUGUUUCUUAUGCAUGGCUUCCCAGGAACCGCUCCUUUAUCUGCGUGCUUGGUAUUCUGCCAACAGUUGUCUGAAUUUGUAUACGAACACCUUGAGUCGGUGAGGCUUCCACUGUUGCUGAUGGAUCUACCCGUGGACUAGGGCGUGCACACAGAGCUCAGGCCAUCUGCUUUCCACAGGCAUCUCCCCUCGCUGUGUCUUCUCUUCGCAUGAGCUCAGGCACCGUCAUCAGUCAGUGAUGCUGGGUGGUUUGGGCAGGUUCCGGUCUCUGAGGAGAAGAGCAGAGCUACUGGUCCUUCCUGUUUGUUUGCAUCAAUAUCCCUAUUUGAAAAUUCUCCAAAUCAUGUGAGUCCCUCUGGUGGUGACAGCAAAGCUGCUGGUUUCAUGGCGUUCAACAAAUGUGUUUUAUAUUUAGGUCUAUGGGCCGGGAGUGGUGGCUCAGGCCUGUAAUCCAAGCACUUUGGGAGACUGAGGUGGGGGGGGCGGAUCACCGGAAGUCAGGAGUUCAAGACCAGCCUGGCCAACAUGGUGAAACCCCGUCUCUACUAAAAAUACAAAAUUUAGCCAGGCAUGGUGGUGGUCACCUGUCAUCCCAGCUACUCAGGGGGCUGAGGCUGGAGAAUCGCUUGAACCUGGGAGGCAGAGGUUGCAGUGAGCCGAGAUUGCACACAAUAAAUAAAUGAUUUAAUGCCCAUACAAUGGAGUGCCGUGCAGCUCUUAAAAAGAAUGCCACGAGGAUGGUCAACACAUGCUGUUCUCCUGGAUGAGGAUUAUUACCAUCAGCUCCAUUUUUCAGAUAUUAUAUGGAGCCUUAAAGCCUCCUGGAGUGAGAGCUAGUUCAUAACCAUGCUGUUUGGAGAGAAGAAAACUACCUGGAAUUCUUGUUCUCCAAAGAUGUGGAAUUAUCAUCCCAACAACAGCCGUCCUUCACUCUGUCCGGGGGCCUUCAGGUGGAGAGAGGAGGAGAUCCCAUUGCCUGUGAGGAGGACACGGCUCCUGGGUGGACCCUGCAGAUUGUGAAGUUCAAGUCACAGCUCCUGGGAAGGUCUCUGUGUGUAAAGAUUGUGGGGGUGAGAUAGAUUCAGGGACCACACUCUGCUCUGCUCUAUAUCUCUGAGUGUCGAUCCAGCUGCCUUGUGACCAGGACACUUGGAAGAACCAUGGACCCUGCAAGAGGGCAGGUUCAGAGAGUGAGAUGAGCACGCUUGAGGGAUUAAAGUGUAACUUGAACCACUGCCUUGCAAACUGCGUGAGGGCAUGCAGGUGUGUGUCUGUGCGUGUGUGUGCUGGGAAGAUGUUUAGCAGCCUCGUGGAGGGGUAACUGACAUACAAGAGAACAAGG
Long non-coding RNA from Pan troglodytes (chimpanzee), 1539 nucleotides. RefSeq lists it as uncharacterized. The transcript is spliced from 3 exons. The record is from RefSeq and is a predicted model, not a curated record. Lineage: Eukaryota; Metazoa; Chordata; Mammalia; Primates; Hominidae.